GAUGAACGCUGGCGGCGUGCCUAAUACAUGCAAGUCGAGCGAACAGACGAGGAGCUUGCUCCUCUGACGUUAGCGGCGGACGGGUGAGUAACACGUGGAUAACCUACCUAUAAGACUGGGAUAACUUCGGGAAACCGGAGCUAAUACCGGAUAACAUGUUGAACCGCAUGGUUCAACAGUGAAAGACGGUUUUGCUGUCACUUAUAGAUGGAUCCGCGCCGCAUUAGCUAGUUGGUAAGGUAACGGCUUACCAAGGCAACGAUGCGUAGCCGACCUGAGAGGGUGAUCGGCCACACUGGAGCUGAGACACGGUCCAGACUCCGACGGGAGGCAGCAGUAGGGAAUCUUCCGCAAUGGGCGAAAGCCUGACGGAGCAACGCCGCGUGAGUGAAGAAGGUCUUCGGAUCGUAAAACGCUGUUAUUAGGGAAGAACAAAUGUGUAAGUAACUAUGCACGUCUUGACGGUACCUAAUCAGAAAGCCACGGCUAACUACGU
This 496-nucleotide ribosomal RNA is filed under the name uncultured bacterium. Its description in RNAcentral is "partial 16S ribosomal RNA". It matches the Rfam family "Bacterial small subunit ribosomal RNA", at positions 28 to 506 of the family's 1533-position model. The record is from RNAcentral.